This is a ribosomal RNA of Cercocebus atys (sooty mangabey), 119 nucleotides long. NCBI's taxonomy places the organism in Eukaryota, Metazoa, Chordata, Mammalia, Primates, Cercopithecidae. The record is from Ensembl.
GUCUACGUCCAUAUAACCCUGAACGCGCCCGAUCUCAUCUGUUCUUGGAAACAAAACACGGUCCGACCUGGUUAGUACUUGCGUGGGAGACUGCCUGGGAAUACUGGGUGCUGUAGGUU